This 74-nucleotide transfer RNA is filed under the name Rhodopila globiformis. RNAcentral's name for it is "tRNA-Cys". It matches the Rfam family "tRNA". Rfam says of the family: Transfer RNA (tRNA) molecules are approximately 80 nucleotides in length. Their secondary structure includes four short double-helical elements and three loops (D, anti-codon, and T loops). The record is from RNAcentral. Lineage: Bacteria; Pseudomonadati; Pseudomonadota; Alphaproteobacteria; Acetobacterales; Acetobacteraceae.
GGUCCGUUGGCGGAGCGGCGACGCACUGGAUUGCAGAUCCAAUCAGCCUGGUUCAACUCCAGGACGGACCUCCA